Molecule: non-coding RNA, 4134 nt
Organism: Rattus norvegicus (Norway rat)
Lineage: Eukaryota; Metazoa; Chordata; Mammalia; Rodentia; Muridae
Source: RefSeq, a predicted model, not a curated record
GGGGCUUGCGUAUCACCCGGAAGGGGAGGAACCAGGUUUCCGUCAGAGGAGGAAAGAGCAGACCUCCCAGAGACGUCCACCAAACGAGGCAUAACACGCUCCAAUAAGACCAGGCGCACACAUUCCGUCAAGGCAGGACGAGACAGAGCGAAAGGGUCCCACCAGUAAGAAAAAGAGUCAGGAGUUGUUAGAAUGGGGUAGCUUGGUGUUCUUGAAGGGUCCAGUUCUUAUUUGCGGCUUCUUUUUAUGGGGUUAAAGAGGAGUGGUUUCAUCACAAGUGCUGCAGUGGGGUGGUCUUCUGUCCUGACUGAUAGAUUAGGCUAUAUUAUCAUUUUCCUUAUAUACCUGACCCUUCCCAUAAUGCCCUGACUUUAAUCAUGUGCACAUCCCACGGCACACAGGAAGAAGAUGGUAAAUAGGGCAUUCCCCCUCAGAGCUCACUUGAAGACAUAUACUCCCCAGACUGACUCAGACUAGAUCAACCUUUCUGUCUUUAAACAGGACACACUGGGGAUACAGUUGAACAGAUAGGAACCAUCUAAAUUUGACUAUCCCCAGGAGCUGAGACGUCUGUUGUUCAGAGAGGGAGGUGUACCCGUGGAGCUCUGAGGGUGUCCUGCAGUUGCUAAAUGCAUUGUUUGGAGAGGGCCCUAUGUGAACAGUACCCACUGGUAAAGGAACUAAGCUGCCAGGUGUGUUAAAGCAAGAGGGAGGGGGCUGAGUAAUCCAAAUCAAAUCCCAUUACUAAAUGAUUUCCCAUGUUUGCCUGGCUCGCCUGGAUUCAGUCAGGGUUGGAGACCAAAUGGUUCCUAAGAUUUAUUUUUAAAAAAAUUGGUGUGUGUGUGUGUGUGUGUGUGUGUGUGUGUGUGUGUGUGUGUGUGUCCGGCCCAGAUACUAUAUCAGGUCCCCCGGAGGUGUAGUUAUAAGCGGUUGUGAGUCACUUGACCUGGAUGCUAAAAUUGAACUCGGAUCCUCUGCAAAAGCAGUACGUGCUCUUAACCACAGAGCCAGCUUUCCAGUUCUGAAGGCAACCUUUUGAUCCUCCUGCCUCUGCUUCCUGAGUGCUUGAAACUGUCCAUCACCGGGCCUUUGACUCAUGUCUGUCAUUUUAAAUGUUACUACGCCAGUGCUUGCCUAGUAUGCACGGAGUCCUGCUUUCAGUUUCCACCACCACACAAAUCAGGCACCAUAGGUUGUAGAACCAUGUACUUGGGAGGUAGAGAAGCAGGAGAAUCAGGAGCUCAGUUUCAUUCUCAAAUACGUAGUGAGUUCUAGGUUUGUGUGGCCUAUCUCGAAAACCUGUCUCAAAAACCAAACGAUAAAGACAACAACAAUAACCAACGGGGAAAAACCCUGCCCCAGUUAACUUUUUUAGAGUGUUUUGUGUCAUGUAUACAUGCAUACCAUAUGCAUGCUGUACCCAUGGAGGACCGGAAAAGGGUAUGGGAACCCUAAGAAAUGGAGUUACAGAUGGUUGUGAGCCACCAUGCGGAUGCUGGGUCACAAACCAGGGUCCUCUGCAGGAGGAGUAAGUGCUUUAACUUCUGAGCCAUCCAUUUCGAUUCUUAUCUGCACUGUUCCAAACCCAAAAGCAAGCUAGCACUGAGCAAAACAAAGGGCUUCCCAGUCAACCGGCUCCAUUAGACUGCCCAUUUUGAUUACGGCAGUAUAUCACUGUGCUUUCCAAGCGGAGCCUCAAAAUAUUUCUCCAAAUAUUCCUCCUAGGAAAAAGAGAAUUGUCCUUGUGUGGCUAUGUGUGCAAUUGUACAUGUCUGUGACUACACAUUUCUACAUCUCAGGCAUUUCCUUGAAUGAAUACAUAUGUAUGUACAUGUAUACAGCAUAUACAUAUAUAUUAUUUCCACACUGUAAAUGUGUACCUAUGUACAUAUGGAACAUAUUAGGAUACUCGGAAGGUGUCAACACUGUUUAUCUGGGUGGAAGUGGGAGUUGGUUUUCUGGAAGCUUUUCUUCCUUCCUUCUUUCUCUCUCCUCCCUCAGGGUUGUGCUAUCCCGACACUCAUUAUGUAGUCCUGAGCAGUUUCUAACAAUUCUAACUCUCCUGACUUAGAAGUUUCCUGCCUUACCCUCCGAAACAUGGGGAUUGCAGACGUGGGCUCUUUUUUUCUAUAGUUUACUACAACUUGAAUGUGAUAGAGAUCACUAUAAUUAAUCUCACACAUGUUGACGCUGUGCCUUGAUCAUGUCCACCCCCACUUCUCUGUGAGGUUACCUUCUGUCCUCUGCUCUCUUCCUUACACCUUCCCAGUCCCUAAAUAACCUUUUUCUUUUUUUUCCUUUUUCUUUUCUUCGGAGCUGGGGACCGAACCCAGGGCCUUGCGCUUGCUAGGCAAGCGCUCUACCACUGAGCUAAAUCCCCAACCCCACUAAAUAACCUUCUUAAUUGCCUCCCAUUCUCCUUUCCCCAUCCCUAGUGACCAUCACUGCAAGGAUUUUCUUUUAAAGAUUUAUUUAGUAUAUACAGCAUUCUGCCUGCACAUACGCCUCCAUGCCAGAAGAGGGCAUCAGAUCCCAUUACAGAUGGUUAUGAGUCACCCAUGUUGUUGCUGGGAAUUGAACUCAGGACCUCUUGAAGAACAGCCAGUGCUCUUAACUUCUGAGCCAUCUCUCCUGCCCAAGAAUUUUGUUUGUUUGUUUUUUUUUAGAUAAAUGUCUCACUCUGUAGCCCAGCUGGUCUGUAACUCAUUAUGUAGGGCAGGUUAGCCUCAAAGUUACAAUUCUCCUGUCUCGGCUCCUAAGUGCUGCUAUUACAGACAUGUGCCUAUUCUGUACUUUUACACGAUUCCAGUUUUCAUAACUGAGAAAAACUGGUAGUGUUUUCCCAUGCCUGGCUUGUGUCUCUUGAAUAAAAUCUGAGGACACUCUUUUUCAAUUUGUUCUUUUGCGGAACCCAGUUUCACAGGACCUGCAGGGGACAUCCUAUGCCUAGGAAAAGGAAGACACAGGGCUGGCUUAAGAUCUCAGCUUUGAGGCCUGCACAGGGAGUCAAGGGACUAAGCUUAAAUGAGGUGUGAGGCUCCUGGCCCGUGGAGCAUUGGGCUCUGGCUGUCGGAGGAUGUAAUAUUCCAGAAAGGACUGAAAUGAACAGGAAAGCAAGUGACUCAGCUUCUGAAAGUCCCCGACCCUGGGGAGGGGUCCAUUUCACUCCCCAUGCUUCUCCAAAUCUGAUCAUGCCCAGAGGGUCUUGGAUCAGACCCAGGGGCAGAGCUUGGCUCUGAAGGUCCUGAGUGGGUGGAACAUUGCUGGAGUUCCAGGAGCGCUGGGACACGAGGAAGGGGGAAACCUUGAGCAAUAGCACAGCCCCCCUUCCCUGUCUCCAUCCCUCUGGAACCUGAAGUCCUGUCAUGGCCAGAGUUUGUUUCCUAAUUUCUUCUUCCUUCUGAAUUUGUUAUCUAAGCUACUCAGACCCCCUGAGGUGCUUGGGAUUGGUAUGAGCUUGGUUGGGAUAAAUUCAGAAAACGGAGCCCCUGGGAACAAAGCAGAAAGGACCGGUGCAGCUAGCAAGGUGUUGUUCUGAGAGAGGCAGGGGAAGCCAUGAUGGAGGGAGCUUUGAAAAUGAGUGAGUGGAGCUCCGGAAAGACAGACGGUCUAGGGAGGUUGAGCAGCAAGCACAAAGACUCAGAGACACAAAGGAAUUGUAGUUCUCCCAACAUGGGUAUCCCAUGGCAACCAGGUUGGAGGCCAGGAUGGCUCAUGUUUUCUUCCCACUGGAGCCAAAGCAAAGAGUCCAAGGUCCUAGGCACAGAAAUGGUCUUCCCACCCCAACUAGACAUCAAUCACAGCCCUCUGGCCCUCAGUUCAAGUACUACUGAACAGGCCCACGUGGGCUUCAGCCCUGGCUCGCUGCUUCCGGCUUUUGUGGAUUUGAGAGGUCGCGCCCCUUCACCAUCCCAUAAUUUCCUUAUAAGUAAAAUGGCAGGAAUGAUACCUACCUCAUGGGUUAUUUGAGGACGCAAUGAUAUAACGCAGAUGAAGGCCUGGACUUGGAGACUGUUAUAUGCUCACCGCGUGAAAGUAGUGGUUAGACCUUCAGAUCUGGCCCCACCCUACUGUUCUCUGUUUUCGUCUUGGGAUGGACCAACUCAUAAAUGCAGUAGACCUGCCCCACUAGAA